CGCUCUUUGAUUAAAGAACAUAAAGAGUCGAGCCUGCCCAGUGAUUUAAUUUAACGGCCGCGGUACUCUGACCGUGCAAAGGUAGCAUAAUCAUUUGCCCUAUAAUUGAGGGCUAGUAUGAAUGGUUUAACAAAAGUAAUUCUGUCUCCAUAAAAUUUUAUAGAACUUGGUUUUUAGGUGAAGAAACCUGAAUAAUAUUGAAAGACAAGAAGACCCUAUCGAGCUUAAAAAAAUUUUAUUGUUUAAAUACAAAAGUCAUUUCAAUAAAAAAUUUUGGUUGGGGCGACUAAGGAACAUACAAAGCUUCCUUUUAUAAUAAAAACCAAUAAGUAUUGAUCCAAAAUAAUUGAUUAAUAAAAUUAGUUACCGUAGGGAUAACAGCAUAAUCUUUUUUAAGAGUUCUUAUCGAAAAAAAGGUUUGUGACCUCGAUGUUGGACUAGGAUAUCCUGAAGAUGCAGAAGUCUUCAAUGGUUGGUCUGUUCGACCAAUAAAAUCCU
RNAcentral lists this ribosomal RNA (498 nucleotides) under Lithoglyphus naticoides. RNAcentral's name for it is "partial 16S ribosomal RNA". It matches the Rfam family "Bacterial large subunit ribosomal RNA", at positions 1816 to 2597 of the family's 2925-position model. The record is from RNAcentral. Lineage: Eukaryota; Metazoa; Mollusca; Gastropoda; Littorinimorpha; Hydrobiidae.